CGGAGGGUGCAAGCGUUAUCCGGAUUCACUGGGUUUAAAGGGUGCGUAGGUGGGUUGGUAAGUCAGUGGUGAAAUCUCCAGGCUUAACUUGGAAACUGCCAUUGAUACUAUCAAUCUUGAAUACCGUGGAGGUUAGCGGAAUAUGUCAUGUAGCGGUGAAAUGCUUAGAUAUGACAUAGAACACCAAUUGCGAAGGCAGCUGGCUACACGAAUAUUGACACUGAUGCACGAAAGCGUGGGGAUCAAACAGGAUUAGAUACCCUGGCAGUCCACGCCCUAAACGAUGGAUACUCGACAUACGCGAUAUACAGUGUGUGUCUGAGCGAAAGCAUUAAGUAUCCCACCUGGGAAGUACGAUCGCAAGAUUG
Molecule: ribosomal RNA, 368 nt
Filed under: uncultured organism
Description: bacterial SSU rRNA
Rfam family: Bacterial small subunit ribosomal RNA
Source: RNAcentral